GACGAACGCUGGCGGCGUGCUUAACACAUGCAAGUCGAACGGAAAGGCCCUGCUUUUGUGGGGUGCUCGAGUGGCGAACGGGUGAGUAGCACGUGAGUAACCUGCCCUUGACUUUGGGAUAACUUCAGGAAACUGGGGCUAAUACCGGAUAGGAGCUCCUGCUGCAUGGUGGGGGUUGGAAAGUUUCGGCGGUUGGGGAUGGACUCGCGGCUUAUCAGCUUGUUGGUGGGGUAGUGGCUUACCAAGGCUUUGACGGGUAGCCGGCCUGAGAGGGUGACCGGCCACAUUGGGACUGAGAUACGGCCCAGACUCCUACGGGAGGCAGCAGUGGGGAAUAUUGCACAGUGGGCGGAAGCCUGAUGCAGCAACGCCGCGUGCGGGAUGACGGCCUUCGGGUUGUAAACCGCUUUCGCCUGUGACGAAGCGUGAGUGACGGUAAUGGGUAAAGAAGCACCGGCUAACUACGUG
This 468-nucleotide ribosomal RNA is filed under the name uncultured bacterium. Its description in RNAcentral is "partial 16S ribosomal RNA". It matches the Rfam family "Bacterial small subunit ribosomal RNA", at positions 28 to 507 of the family's 1533-position model. The record is from RNAcentral.